Molecule: unclassified non-coding RNA, 323 nt
Filed under: Hevea brasiliensis (rubber tree)
Lineage: Eukaryota; Viridiplantae; Streptophyta; Magnoliopsida; Malpighiales; Euphorbiaceae
Source: RNAcentral
CAUGUCAUUUCAGAAAGCUUCAACUUUUCAAUUUCUGUUUUAGCUGCUUGCUUUCCCUUCCCAAUAGCAGCACCAAAAUAUCUAUAUGAUAUUCCAGAUGGCUCAAUCAUGUAUAAUUGUGGUCCAUCUCUGUCAUAACCACCAAGAAUUACCCCGCAACCAAAUGGUCUAAGCCACCAGUAGAGAGUGCACAAAUGCACAUAACUAGCAACGCGUUCAGCAAGUUCCUUCACAGGAAUGGCUUCACCAUAUACACUUUCAUAAUUUGUUGCCUCAGACUUAGCUCGUGCAACGAUUUGUCUCCCAUCAGCUGCUAAACCAGC